Equus caballus (horse) is the source of this 1797-nucleotide long non-coding RNA. The record is from Ensembl. Lineage: Eukaryota; Metazoa; Chordata; Mammalia; Perissodactyla; Equidae.
GGUAUAUUAAAAUUACACUUUGAAAAAUUAAUUUAAAUUCUCUCAUAUUCAGCAAAGAAUUUGGAAUGAUAUAAUGUAGAAAAAUAUCACCACCAAAGAGGCAGUUGCAUGGGAAGUAGAGUUUGGGAGGAUUUGUGCCUAUGUUUAGAAUUGGCAAAUCACGUGUGGGACUUCAUUGCAGUUUGAAAAGGCCUAAAAUCUAGAAGCAGGCUCUCAGGAAGGAAUAUAGCAUGGUGAUUUGGAGCCAGGACUUUAAACUGGAUCUGGAUUCACAGCCUGGCAGGACCUCUCCAGCUGUGUGAUCUUUGGCAACUUAUGUAGCUUCUUUGAGCCUCAGGUUUCUCACUUGUGAUACUGAGAUUGUGUAGCACAUAGUGUUAUUGUGAAGAUGAAAUGAGAUCAUGCUCGUAAAGACCUUAGCCUGGCACGAGGCAUAGAGUAGACACUCGAAAAGUGGGAGCUAUAAUAAUAAUUAUUAUUUUCUUAGGUCCAACCCAGUCUCCUGUUAUGUGUGGAGUGGCACUCAGUGAAUGUCAGUGGGAGAGGCUGGGCUGCUUGUCCAAACAAGCCCGGGAGGAAGGCAGGACCAGAAGGGGGGGGGUCAUCAAUGGAUUAGUCCUGAGCUAACAUCUGCUGCCAAUCCUCCACUUUUUGCUGCUGGGGAAGACUGGCCCUGAGCUAACAUCUGUGCCCAUCUUCCUCUAUUUUAUAUGUGGGACGGCUGCCACAGCAUGGCUUGACAAGCGGUGUGUAGGUCCACACCCGGGAUCUGGACCAGCGAACCCUGGGCCACUGAAGCAGAACGUGCAAACUUAACUGCUUAGCCACUGGGCCGGCCCCUCCGACUCCAUUUUUUGAUGUUUGACUGCUGACUGCUUUGAAGCCUCAUGGUGCCCUCUUUCCUUUCUGCCCGACAUCUUGGCAAGCUGAUAAGAAAGCCUGGGUGCUCCCUCCUUUGGCACGGGUGGGAAGUCCAAACUGUGCAAGCCCCUGCCACAUGUGUGGGAACCCUUGCCCCAGCCCCACCUCCUAACCACCACAAUACCCUCAAGCCAGUAUCCUUUCUCUCCUCUCUCCAGCCAUUUUUAGACCAGUGUGUGAGUCCGCCCUGCUCCCCGCAGAAAGACUUGUGAUGGAAGUAAUAAACCUUCACUAAUCAGGGACUGUGUUAGAUGUUACAUGUACAUUAGCUCAUUUUGUUCUCACACUUACCCUGGAAGGUUGAUAUUUUAUUCAAUUUUUAUUCGGAUAAGGAAAGUGAAGUUACAGGGGUUAAAGAAAUAAUCGCCAAGAUAAUUGUGAGAAUUGAGCUAGGAUUUGAAUCCAGUAUAAAUUCUAAACACAGUGUCUCGCAAUAAUUUUUCAAAUUGUUGGUCCUCCCCAACCCCUCUGCUUCAUUUACUUUUCCCAGCCCUUGAAGUACAUCCUUAUCUUCCAGGUCCCUGAAAUAACCCAUUUCCCACCUAUUUCAAUGGCUUCUUUGGUUCCAUUGUUUGUGGCUUUUUUGAUUUUCUUUUCUUAUUCUUCAUAUACAAUUAUCCCCCAAGAUUCUGCUCUUUUCUUCACAUUUUGUAGACUCCUAGCAUUUCCACCUGUGGCAAGAUCAUCCCCUCCUGUGACUUCACCUUGUGUCUUUAUGUGACAAACUUCCCUCUGUCCUCUUUCCAAAGCUUAUGAUCCAGCCAUGCCAGCUGUCUUCUGGGCCUUUCUAACUGGAUGUUUUAUCUGAAUCAUAAAGUCGUUGUAUUCAAGUUCUAAGCAACUCUUUUCCUCACACUUUCCCCAUUCCUGUUGUAG